Octodon degus (degu) is the source of this 106-nucleotide small nucleolar RNA. RefSeq annotates it as small nucleolar RNA U13. NCBI's taxonomy places the organism in Eukaryota, Metazoa, Chordata, Mammalia, Rodentia, Octodontidae. The record is from RefSeq and is a predicted model, not a curated record. The transcript has a single exon.
AUCCUUUGGUUCAUGAGUGUGAUGAUUGGGUGUUCAUGCCUUAUGCAUGAGAUGUGCCUCCCUCAAACUUUGCCACAAGGGGCUGAGGAGAUGGCUCAGUAGGAUA